UCAACCCUCUAGAUUUUGCUGAAUGUGUUUUUAAAUGGAGCAUCUCCAAUCACACGGAUUUAUGGAAAACUGGUGUUUUAUGCCACAGAACAUGGUCAUGGAAACCAGAAGAUCCAGAAGAUGGCACAAAGUGUGGAGGCCGAGAAAAAGCAAGGCAACUCCACCUCAAGUUUAGCGUUAGCACAAGUACAGCCAUCCCAGGCCCCUGUGAAUAAGAGCUGAACUUUACAUUACUUCAGUUACAGGAAGAAAACAGUUUACAGCUUAAUGUCCUGGAAAGCCCCAUAUUAGAAUAAGAACAGAGCCCAAGCCAAGGACAGGAAGCCCCUAUUAGAAUGAGAACAGAGCUCAAUGCCCUUGAAAGCCCCAUAUCAAAAUGUAAACAGAACUUGAGAAAUUCCUCCACCCCUUCUGGAAAUCCCCUAGACCAGCCUAUAAGAAACCCAGCUGUAACCCACUUCGGGGGUCCAAGUCCCUGCUCCACUGUGUCGGGUACACUUGGACCCAAGCUCGAGCUUGUAAAUAAACCCUCUGAGUGCUUGCA
Molecule: long non-coding RNA, 544 nt
Organism: Nyctereutes procyonoides (raccoon dog)
Lineage: Eukaryota; Metazoa; Chordata; Mammalia; Carnivora; Canidae
Exons: 2
Source: RefSeq, a predicted model, not a curated record